GACGAACCGUGCGAACGUUGUUCGGAAUCACUGGGCUUAAAGGGCGCGUAGGCGGGCUGUCAAGUCUGGGGUGAAAUGCUGCGGCUCAACCGUAGAACUGCCUUAGAUACUGACGGCCUCGAGGAAGGUAGGGGCAUGCGGAACUGUAGGUGGAGCGGUGAAAUGCGUAGAUAUCUGGAGGAACACCGGUGGCGAAGGCGACGUCCUGGACCGGCAUUGACGCUGAGGCGCGAAAGCCAGGGGAGCAAACGGG
Molecule: ribosomal RNA, 253 nt
Filed under: uncultured bacterium
Lineage: Bacteria
Description: partial 16S ribosomal RNA
Rfam family: Bacterial small subunit ribosomal RNA
Source: RNAcentral